GGAAUCUUCGGCAAUGGACGAAAGUCUGACCGAGCAACGCCGCGUGAGUGAAGAAGGUUUUCGGAUCGUAAAACUCUGUUGGUCGAGAAGAACGUUGGUGAGAGUGGAAAGCUCAUCAAGUGACGGUAACUACCCAGAAAGGGACGGCUAACUACGUGCCAG
Molecule: ribosomal RNA, 162 nt
Filed under: uncultured bacterium
Lineage: Bacteria
Description: partial 16S rRNA
Rfam family: Bacterial small subunit ribosomal RNA
Source: RNAcentral